Long non-coding RNA from Argiope bruennichi, 327 nucleotides. RefSeq lists it as uncharacterized. Lineage: Eukaryota; Metazoa; Arthropoda; Arachnida; Araneae; Araneidae. The record is from RefSeq and is a predicted model, not a curated record. The transcript has 2 exons.
AGAUACUUGGAUAUUGAAUUGACUGAAUGAAUAUUCAAAGGCUGUUAAAAAAAUGAUUUCAAUUAAAUGUUUUUCAUUGCGAUUUCGUAGAAAGUUAAUUUCUUGUGAUGUGCAGAAUUUUUUAUUGGUGUAUGAGACGCAUCUUUUAUGCUGAUACCAACAGUGGCGCUUUUCUAGAUUUACUUUUCUACUGUAUGAAUAAUCGCCAUAUGUAUAUAUUUCAAAUUUGCAUUGUAUAUUUUUGUAAGAUUUUAAUGUUUUACUCCUUUUUUAUGUGUUUGUAAAAUUGUUUCAUUCAUAAAAAUAAAUCUUUACUGUGAUUUUCAA